RNAcentral lists this long non-coding RNA (687 nucleotides) under Pan troglodytes (chimpanzee). Its description in RNAcentral is "lincRNA". The record is from RNAcentral. Lineage: Eukaryota; Metazoa; Chordata; Mammalia; Primates; Hominidae.
UCCCAAAAGGGGCAUUAGAAAUCCUGGCGUUUUGCUGAUGUUCUGCUUCUUGAUGUAGAUGCUUAUACUGUAGAGCACAUCUCUUCAAGGAGAACUACAAACCACUGCUCAACGAAAUAAAAGAGGACACAAACAAAUGGAAGAACAUUUCAUGCUCAUGGACAGAAAGAAUCAAUAUCGUGAAAAUGGCCAUACUACCCUAGGUAAUUUAUAGAUUGAAUGCCAUCCCCAUCAAGCUACCAAUGACUUUCUUCACAGAAUAGGAAAAAACUACUUUAAAGUUCAUAUGGAAUCAAAAAAGAGCCCGCAUUGCCAAGAUAAUCCUAAGCCAAAAGAACAAACCUGGAGGCAUCAUGCUACCUGACCUCGAACUAUACUACAAGGCUACAGUAACCAAAACAGCAUGGUACUGGUACCAAAACAGAGAUAUAGACCAAUGGAACAGAACAGAGCCCUCAGAAGUAAUACCACACAUCUACAACCAUCUCAUCUUUGACAAACCUGACAAAAACAAGAAAUGGGGAAAGGACUCCCUAUUUAAUAAAUGGUGCUGGGAAAACUGGCUAGCCAUACGUAGAAAUCUAAAAUUGGAUCCCUUGCUUACACCUUAUACAAAAAUUAAUUCAAGAUGGAUUAAAGACUUAAAUGGUAGACCUAAAACCAUAAAAACCCUAGAAGAAAACCUAG